RNAcentral lists this ribosomal RNA (468 nucleotides) under uncultured bacterium. Its description in RNAcentral is "partial 16S ribosomal RNA". It matches the Rfam family "Bacterial small subunit ribosomal RNA", at positions 28 to 507 of the family's 1533-position model. The record is from RNAcentral.
GACGAACGCUGGCGGCGUGCUUAACACAUGCAAGUCGAACGGAAAGGCCCUGCUUUUGUGGGGUGUUCGAGUGGCGAAAGGGUGAGUAACACGUGAGUAACCUGCCCCUGACUUUGGGAUAACUUCUGGAAACUGGGGCUAAUACCGGACAGGAGCUCCUGCUGCAUGGGGGGGGUUGGAAAGUUACGGCGGUUGGGGAUGGACUCGCGGCUUAUCAGCUUGUUGGUGGGGUAGUGGCUUACAAAGGCUUUGACGGGUAGCCGGCCUGAGAGGGUGACCGGGCACAUUGGGACUGAGGUACGGGCCAGACGCCUACGUGAGGCAGCAGUGGGAAAUAGUGCACAAUGGGCGGAAGCCUGAUGCAGCAACGCCGCGUGCGAGAUGACGGCCUUCGGGUUGUAACCCGCUUUCGCCUGGGACGAAGCGUGAGUGACGGUAAUGGGUAAAGAAGCACCGGCUAACUACGUG